RNAcentral lists this long non-coding RNA (1392 nucleotides) under Sus scrofa (pig). RNAcentral describes it as "lncRNA (ENSSSCG00065052247.1)". Lineage: Eukaryota; Metazoa; Chordata; Mammalia; Artiodactyla; Suidae. The record is from RNAcentral.
AAAGACUAUUCUCCACAUGUAUUUUCAGAUAUGCAAUGUGCCUGGCUAUUAGGCUCAGAGGCUGACAGAAAGAAUAUACCAAGAUAAAUGUAGAAUGUGUUGAGAGUGCUUGGGGGUAGGACUCCGUGCUGUUGACUUAACUACUGAAUUUGAAAAGUGACCUGCUAGUUUCUUAUCUAAAUGGCUACUUGCUGAUUUCAGCUGGAAAAAUUGGCACCCACUUUCCUUUAUGAUGCUCAAACUGUGGAGUUUUUUUUAUUAUUGGAAUGUCUGGUAGUCCUGUUGCGUCCACUUAAGUGUUUGGAAAUCUGAUCACCAGUCUUCCCCUAAAGGUUUUGAUACGAAGCUGUUGAAAACUGUCAUCAGCAAGCACCCUUUUACUCUCCCUACCCUCUGUCUCCUUUUUCUCUCUGCAGCCACAUUCAGCUGCAUCUUUUCUACCCCCACUCCCCAGACUGUCCUUCCCUAAAAAUCUUUUUCAUGAUAUUGAAAGUGAUAUAUUCUCUUCAAAGGAGGUGGAAACAAGUGAACACAUGUGGGAAAUAUUGCACUUUUUUAUGAUUGAAAGGAAGAUAUUUUCUUCCUGUCUGAGGGUUCAUUUGUGAGAAACAGAGGAAGGGUAAUCAGGGAGAGUCCAUUAAUAUAUCUUCAAAUAUCACACUCAAGUGUUUAUGACAAAUGUGCAAGUUGAUUGAACUAAGGGACAUUUUGGAAAACAAUCUUGGACGGAGCCUUCCAAGGAACUUAAUUUUUACCUAUGUGUAAUGUGCAAAGCUCUUUUGUUGGAUGGCUUUUAUUUCUUCUUCACGUCUGAUUGCUGUGAUGAGGACUUCCAACAUCAUGUUGAAUAAAAGUGUCAAAGUGCGAACAUCCUUUUCUUGUACCUGAUCUUAGAGGAAAAGCUGUCAGAUGUUUUGGUUGGUUGGUUGUUUUCCAUUGAGUAUGAUGUUAACUGUAAGUUUGUCAUAUCAUAUAUGACCUUUUUCUGUUGAAGUAUGUAACCUCUAUGCACCUUUUGGUGAACUAUUUUCUCAUAAAAGGAUCUUGACUUUUUCAAAUGCUUUUUUUAAAAAAUAUGAGAUAAUUAUAUAAUUUCUUAUCCAUUUUGUUAAUGUAAUGGAUCAUGCUGAUUGAUAUGUGGAUAUUGAACUCUGCCUGUACAUCUAGAAUUAAGUCCAACUUGAUCAUGGUAUAUGAUUCUUUUUAUGUAUUACUGAUUUUGGCUUGCUGAUAUUUUUUGAAUAUUGUUGUAUUCCGUUUUUAUAUAAUCCUCAGUCUCACUGUUAAGUUAUAGAUAAUUACACAUCAAUAUACCUUUGCAGAUUUAACACUUAUCACCAAUCUUUUUAUAAAACUGCAUAAUAAAAUUUCUUGUUCAUCCUUUGAAUAACA